This is a long non-coding RNA of Zingiber officinale, 1456 nucleotides long. RefSeq lists it as uncharacterized. NCBI's taxonomy places the organism in Eukaryota, Viridiplantae, Streptophyta, Magnoliopsida, Zingiberales, Zingiberaceae. The transcript is spliced from 3 exons. The record is from RefSeq and is a predicted model, not a curated record.
GCACCGCAUUAAGUUUAAAACUAAAAUCGAUUAACCAUUUUAAUUAUCAUUAUUUUAUUUAAUUUUAUUUAAAAUAUUAAUUAAGCAUUAAUAAUACAAAUGAACUUUUAUAUUAAUUUCCCUUCCUCACACUCCACCCAAAAUUUCGCAUUCCCGCUAUUCAACUCCCUCCCCUCCUCUCCCUUUACCUUGCACGCCCGCCUGAUAUUUACCUGCCGCUAUUUCCCGAUUCUGCGAGCAAGUGCGAGGAAGCUUCAUUGCACUGCGCUCUGUGUCGUCGCUUCCGCCCUCUACCUCUGACCUCCGACCUCCGACCUAGCUCCGCCCGAUAUUUCCCUGCCGCUAUUUCUCGAUUCUGCGAGCAAAUGCGAGGAAGCUUCAUCGCGCCGCGCUCUGAGUCGUCGCUUUCGACCUCCACCUCUGACCUCCGACCUAGCUCCGCCUCCUUCUAGUUACACAUCCAGGAGAACCUCCGUCCCCUCGCAGGUACGCAGCUAGCAUAACCUCCUCCUCCUUCAAGCUAUUUGACCUAGCUAUCGUCACCGAUUCCUUCCUCUGACCUCCACCUCAGACCUCCGACCUAGCUCCGCCUCCUUCCAGUUACACAUCUAGGAGAACCUCCGUCCUCUCGCAUGUACGCAGCUCUCCUCCUUUAAGCUAUUUGACCUAGCUAUCGUCGCUGAUUCCUUCCUUUGACCUCCACCCCUGACCUCUGACCUCAGACCUCAGACCUACGCCUCCUUCCAGUUACCAGGAGAACCUCCGAUUCCAAUCUGCUAUUAAGAGUAUCUACAAUUGCAAUCCUGACAAGCUCCAAGUGGUAACUUUCGAAAAUGGCAAACAAAAGAAUGCGAAAACUAAUCCAAAAUAGCCAAAGACGAUCUAGGAGAGAAGAAUCAAGUAACAGAGGAGUUAAUGAUGAAAAUGAAUCACAAUACAUAACAUCCCAUUCACCAUUAGAGCUACAAAAUGAGGAGGUUAAUGAGCAAGGUGAAAAACGUUUUUGGAUAUGAAUAGAAAAUUAUUUUUUGCAACACUAAGUGAAAAUUAUAUUUUUCAGAUGAAAAUGAGAUCAUGUCUUCAUCCCAAGCUCAGAAAAGAAAACGUGGAAAGACUAUUAUGAGAGAUAUUCAUGCAUUACAUCCCGAUCAUAUGCUGGUAGUGAAAUUCAAUGAAAGGGGACAGCCUUACGGUGAUCUACAACCGACUCUUGCAAAUUAUAUUGGGACUAUUGCACGGAAUGGAGUUGUGUUGCACCUGAGCUUUUUAGAUUGGAGAAAAAUGCCGACAAAUCGCUUGAAUGAUGCAUGGAAACUUGUUACUGCACGUUUCUGCAUCUCCAAUUGCCAUAGAAGAGUUAUAAUGCAAAUGAUGGGGGCUGCGUGGAGACGGUGGAGGACUGAAGUGAAAGCUACAUCUUAUGAUUCAAAUACUCCACUAGAAGAGCUUGUUGCAA